Molecule: long non-coding RNA, 624 nt
Organism: Oncorhynchus tshawytscha (Chinook salmon)
Lineage: Eukaryota; Metazoa; Chordata; Actinopteri; Salmoniformes; Salmonidae
Source: Ensembl
GGGAUGGGAUCGGGACACAGGGGUGAGUGGAGAUGGGAUCGGGACACAGGGGUGAGUGGAGAUGGGAUCAGGACACAGGGGUGAGUGGAGAUGGGAUCGGGACACAGGGGUGAGUGGAGAUGGGAUCGGGACACAGGGGUGAGUGGGGAUGGGAUCGGGACACAGGGGUGAGUGGAGAUGGGAUCGGGACACAGGGGUGAGUGGAGAUGGGAUCGGGACACAGGGGUGAGUGGAGAUGGGAUCGGGACACAGGGGUGAGUGGAGAUGGGAUCGGGACACAGGGGUGAGUGGAGAUGGGAUCGGGACACGGGGGUGAGUGGAGAUGGGAUCAGGGCACAGGGGUGAGUGGAGAUGGGAUCAGGGCACAGGGGUGAGUGGAGAUGGGAUCAGGACAGAGGGGUAUUAUUGGUAUUAUUGGUAUUAUUUCAACCAGUCCAUCUCCCCAUAGAGAUGUACUAGAGAGCUCAUCUCCUAUCUUUGCAACGGCCUUCUUCUGUGACGUUAAUUGUGCCCUCUAUCCAACUCAAUGCGUCUACCCCCUUUCCCCUCCUCCCUGUGAUAUACGACCUCCUCCCUAGAUGCCGCCUGCAGCUCCCUCCCAGUCAGCAGCCAAUUAGCACGGGC